UGCUGCAUGGUUGUCGUCAGCUCGUGCCGUGAGGUGUCGGUUAAGUCCAUAACGAGCGCAACCCCUAUCGUUAGUUGCCAGCAAGUAAAGUUGGGGACUCUAGCGAGACUGCCGGUGUAAACCGUGAGGAAGGUGGGGAUGACGUCAAAUCAGCACGGCCCUUAUAUCCAGGGCUACACACGUGUUACAAUGGUCGGUACAAAGAGCAGCCACUUGGUGACAAGGCGCUAAUCUCAAAAGCCGAUCUCAGUUCGGAUCGAAGUCUGCAACUCGACUUCGUGAAGUUGGAUUCGCUAGUAAUCGCGCAUCAGCCAUGGCGCGGUGAAUACGUUCCCGGGCCUU
RNAcentral lists this ribosomal RNA (342 nucleotides) under uncultured Marinilabiliaceae bacterium. Its description in RNAcentral is "bacterial SSU rRNA". It matches the Rfam family "Bacterial small subunit ribosomal RNA", at positions 1039 to 1382 of the family's 1533-position model. The record is from RNAcentral. Lineage: Bacteria; Pseudomonadati; Bacteroidota; Bacteroidia; Marinilabiliales; Marinilabiliaceae.